This 452-nucleotide long non-coding RNA is filed under the name Serinus canaria (Common canary). RNAcentral's name for it is "lncRNA (ENSSCAG00000004635.1)". Lineage: Eukaryota; Metazoa; Chordata; Aves; Passeriformes; Fringillidae. The record is from RNAcentral.
CUGAAAUACUGCUGGAAGGGUUAAGAAGAAGCUACAGCAUUUGUGAUUCUUCUAGUAUUUAGUGUAACAGCUCUCAGGACAAGGUUUCUGUGGAUGCAUCUGGCUGUCCUAGUGAGCGACCCUGCUGGUUCUCCAUUCUGCAUCCGUGCAGCCACGUUCUAUUGAUGGCCUGUUGUGAUUUCAAUGGAACAUCAUGGGAUGUACCUGGCACGUCGGGCAGCACUGGAUGGAGGUGCCUUUAGCCCAAUGUACCUGGCAUGUACUGUUAACUCACUGUUCAGGUGCUUGGUGUCUAGCCUUCUCAUCCAGCUACAAAUCCUCUACGUGAAAUGAGUGAUUCCUUAGAUCUGUUUAUGAUUGAUUCUUUGCUUCACUGGUGUUGCUUCUUAAAAGGUAAACAAUAUUCAUGUGCUGCGAUCUAUAACUCAGAGAUGAAAUCAAACAGCAUCUCC